RNAcentral lists this non-coding RNA (23 nucleotides) under Mus musculus (house mouse). The record is from RNAcentral. Lineage: Eukaryota; Metazoa; Chordata; Mammalia; Rodentia; Muridae. RNAcentral also lists the same sequence under 1 other name.
AAAGUGCUUCCACUUUGUGUGCC